This 146-nucleotide ribosomal RNA is filed under the name uncultured bacterium. Its description in RNAcentral is "partial 16S rRNA". It matches the Rfam family "Bacterial small subunit ribosomal RNA", at positions 355 to 498 of the family's 1533-position model. The record is from RNAcentral.
UGAGGAAUAUUGGUCAAUGGGCGAGAGCCUGAACCAGCCAAGUAGCGUGAAGGAUGAAGGCCCUAUGGGUUGUAAACUUCUUUUAUAUGGGAAUAAAGUGUUCCACGUGUGGAUUUUUGUAUGUACCAUAUGAAUAAGGAUCGGCU